UACCGUGAGGGAAAGUUGGAAAGAACUUUGAAGAGAGAGUUCAAGAGUACGUGAAACCGUUCAGGGGUAAACGGAAAAGACCUGAAUAUCCGAAAGGGGAGAUUCACGUCUUACCAGUUGCUCAACUUUUAAAUGAUUUGAGAUGGCCUCUCGCCCUAUUCAGUGUAACAGCUGUGGUAGUGGGUUUGGUCGCUCGCAUUUAAAUUGGAAGGGUAAUGGUGGACCGCACUUCUCCCUUAGUAGGACGUUGCGACCUGUCAAAUAAUAUCCUAAGUAUUUGGCUAAUUUGUCUGUUUUUAGGCAGUACUGAAAGGUAUUUCCUUUAACAGUUUUAGCCGUUUACAUACUGGAUAUAAUUGACAGUAACGAAUCUUGGUGUUGAGCCACUUACUUUGUAAGUGUCCUUUAUGGCUGUUUGCAAGUGGGUUGGUUAAUUAGUUUUAGUCGGAUUUUGGUCCGUCUAACUAUUCCGCCUACUGUUGGUAAACUGUUCCUUGGACAGUGCUUAUAACACCGGU
Molecule: ribosomal RNA, 518 nt
Filed under: Triatoma guasayana
Lineage: Eukaryota; Metazoa; Arthropoda; Insecta; Hemiptera; Reduviidae
Description: partial large subunit ribosomal RNA
Rfam family: Eukaryotic large subunit ribosomal RNA
Source: RNAcentral